UACGGGGGGGAGCAAGCGUUGUUCGGAUUUACUGGGCGUAAAGGGCGCGUAGGCGGUCAGCACAAGUCAGUUGUGAAAUCUCCGGGCUUAACUCGGAAAGGUCAACUGAUACUGUGCGACUAGAGUGCAGAAGGGGCAACUGGAAUUCUCGGUGUAGCGGUGAAAUGCGUAGAUAUCGAGAGGAACACCUGCGGCGAAGGCGGGUUGCUGGGCCGACACUGACGCUGAGGCGCGAAAGCCAGGGGAGCGAACGGG
RNAcentral lists this ribosomal RNA (255 nucleotides) under uncultured bacterium. Its description in RNAcentral is "partial 16S ribosomal RNA". It matches the Rfam family "Bacterial small subunit ribosomal RNA", at positions 524 to 776 of the family's 1533-position model. The record is from RNAcentral.